This 253-nucleotide ribosomal RNA is filed under the name uncultured bacterium. RNAcentral describes it as "partial 16S ribosomal RNA". It matches the Rfam family "Bacterial small subunit ribosomal RNA", at positions 524 to 776 of the family's 1533-position model. The record is from RNAcentral.
GACAGAGGAUGCAAGCAUUAUCUGGAAUGAUUGGGCGUAAAGCGUCUGUAGGUGGCUUUUCAAGUCCGCUGUCAAAUCCCAGGGCUCAACCCUGGACAGGCGGUGGAAACUACCAAGCUGGAGUACGGUAGGGGCAGAGGGAAUUUCCGGUGGAGCGGUGAAAUGCAUUGAGAUCGGAAAGAACACCAACGACAAAAGCACUCUGCUGGGCCGACACUGACACUAAGAGACGAAAGCUAGGGGAGCAAAUGGG